UGGGGAAUAUUGGACAAUGGGCGAAAGCCUGAUCCAGCCAUGCCGCGUGUGUGAAGAAGGUCUUCGGAUUGUAAAGCACUUUAAGUUGGGAGGAAGGGCAGUAAGCGAAUACCUUGCUGUUUUGACGUUACCGACAGAAUAAGCACCGGCUAACUCUGUGCCAGCAGCCGCGGUAAUACAGAGGGUGCAAGCGUUAAUCGGAAUUACUGGGCGUAAAGCGCGCGUAGGUGGUUCGUUAAGUUGAAUGUGAAAGCCCCGGGCUCAACCUGGGAACUGCAUCCAAAUCUGGCGAGCUAGAGUAGGGCAGAGGGUGGUGGAAUUUCUUGUGUAGCGGAGAAAUGCGUAGAUAUAGGAAGGAACACCAGUGGCGAAGGCGACCACCUGGGCUCAUACUGACACUGAGGUGCGAAAGCGUGGGGAGCAAACAGG
Molecule: ribosomal RNA, 429 nt
Filed under: Pseudomonadota bacterium
Lineage: Bacteria; Pseudomonadati; Pseudomonadota
Description: Proteobacteria bacterium partial 16S ribosomal RNA
Rfam family: Bacterial small subunit ribosomal RNA
Source: RNAcentral